CACGUAGGGGGCAAGCGUUGUCCGGAUUUAUUGGGCGUAAAGAGCUCGUAGGCGGCUCAGUAAGUCAGGUGUGAAACCUCCAGGCUCAACCUGGAGACGCCACCUGAUACUGCUGUGGCUAGAGUCCGGUAGGGGAGCGUGGAAUUCCUGGUGUAGCGGUGAAAUGCGCAGAUAUCAGGAGGAACACCAGCGGCGAAGGCGGCGCUCUGGGCCGGAACUGACGCUGAGGAGCGAAAGCAUGGGGAGCGAACAGG
RNAcentral lists this ribosomal RNA (254 nucleotides) under uncultured bacterium. RNAcentral's name for it is "partial 16S ribosomal RNA". It matches the Rfam family "Bacterial small subunit ribosomal RNA", at positions 524 to 776 of the family's 1533-position model. The record is from RNAcentral.